This 253-nucleotide ribosomal RNA is filed under the name uncultured prokaryote. RNAcentral's name for it is "partial 16S ribosomal RNA". It matches the Rfam family "Bacterial small subunit ribosomal RNA", at positions 524 to 776 of the family's 1533-position model. The record is from RNAcentral.
UACGUAGGUGGCGAACGUUAUCCGGAAUGACUGGGUGUAAAGGGUCCGUAGGCGGAGGGGCAAGUCUGACGUGAAAGCGCCCGGCUCAACUGGGCGAGUGCGUUGGAAACUGCCCGUCUUGAAUCACGCAGAGGUCGGCGGAAUUCCCGGUGUAGUGGUGGAAUGCGUAGAGAUCGGGAGGAACCUCGAAAGCGAAGGCAGCCGACUGGGGGAUGAUUGACGCUGAGGGACGAAAGCGUGGGGAGCGAACAGG